Molecule: non-coding RNA, 25 nt
Filed under: Mus musculus (house mouse)
Lineage: Eukaryota; Metazoa; Chordata; Mammalia; Rodentia; Muridae
Source: RNAcentral
UGCAACAUAGGGGACAGCCACGUCU